AGGCCAGCUCCCGUUCCAACACCUCUACCUUAGGGACAUCUGCAGAAAGGCUGGGCAGUGGCAAAAAAGGUAGCCAGUGAAAGGAGGGCUGAUAGACAGGUGCUUGGCCUCAAGAGCCCUGAAUCUGAGCCUCAUCACUCCCUCUGUCUUACUGCAGGGGGCCUUGGAAAAAUGGCCAAUCUCUUAGACCCUCACUUUUAUCAUCUGUAAAAUGGCACUGAGGCGUCCUGUCCUUCUGACUCCUCUGGUUAUGCUAGGAAGCUGAUAAAGACAUGGGCGUCAAAGCAUGAGGCAGAGCAUAAAAGUCACUGACUGAGGGCAUCCCUGCUACUUUGUGAAAGGAACAGGAGGGUAAGGAAGGAGACACAGGGAAAGGACAAGGCAGGUGAGAACGAGUGUCCAGACCUGGGGAUUCCAGACUAAGAACAAGGGCAACAGGAGCAGUGGGGAGAGAUGCAAAACAGACCUGAUCUUAGGAUGCUGGGAAAACUCCCCAGGAGGCGGUGCAGCUCCCUAAGUCGAGCUGACUCCCACAAAGAUCCUCCCCAGGAGGAAGAGUAGUGCCCUGGCAGGGAGCUGGAGCAAUGGAGCUCUCUUGAGGAGGCAGAGGUAUGUCCUGGUAUGCACCCCCCUCUCACCCCAGCAGCUGACCAUGUCACAGGUAGAAGGGAUCAGAGAGACGGUCUGGUCUAACCUCUCAUCUCACAAACAGACCAUCGGCUCACAUGAGAAAGCAAACUAAGAGCUUCUUUAGCUCACUCCUACACUGUCAAAGGAACAUUAAAGCCUUCAAUGAAGAGCAUGCUUGCUUUGUGGCUCCCCAUUGACUCAUCCCUUCUACCUUGAGUUAUGAGGUAGCAAGAGCACAUAGAGAAGGAUGAGGAUGAGACCGGCCCUCUCUCACCUUCCCACAGGACAGACCGAUCACUCCCUCACCCAGCCCAGGGGCCAGAACACGAGAAAGAGUAUUCAGUGACUGAGGCACUCCUCUGCCCCCUCUGGAGAAGGAAGAGAGGACAGGGUCCCUUCCAGGCUUUGAGAAGGUCAAAGCUCAAGAAGAUCUGAGGUUAUCUAGUCCAGCCCCAUUGGGAAACUGAGGCUCAAGGAAGGAAAGAGCCUCCCUCCAAGCCUCCAGAUACCUCUUGCACUGCUGGAUCCUUUACUUCUUCAUUUAAGGAAAGCAGUCCUUGGCCCGUCCAAGGAUCCAAAUCGAACGGAGUCUCCUAAUUGUGAGGACUGUGCACUCUCUCUGAAGGCCUGGGUGCCCCUCAGAGGUUCUGCAAAGGCCUCUCUGAGUCCAGGGAGUCUGCUGGGAGAGGUGAUAUGGGGGAGGCCUCCCCCAUGCUUCCUGGAGUUUAUCUGUGCCGACAGGUCUGCGUAAGAUGUGUUUCAGUCCUGGCUCUCCUUAAGAAGCUACCUUUUAAGAUUCCUUUUUUUUUUUUCUUGGACUGAGACCAUCAAAAGGGAAGAAUUAGGAGGGUUCCUUUGGUUUGCUCAGGUCCCGGCCUGAAAAACAUGGCUCUGACAUCCAAGAUGCCUGCUGCUCUGUCCCUGACUUCAGUCUGAACCCCACCCUGCCCACCCCAAGGCCACGCAGAUGG
This 1601-nucleotide long non-coding RNA is filed under the name Homo sapiens (human). RNAcentral's name for it is "HSALNT0297571". Lineage: Eukaryota; Metazoa; Chordata; Mammalia; Primates; Hominidae. The record is from RNAcentral.